GCUUAGCCGUAAACUUUGAUAGAUCUAUCCGCCCGGGUACUACGAGCAUUAGCUUAAAACCCAAAGGACUUGGCGGUACUUUAGAUCCCCCUAGAGGAGCCUGUUCUAUAACCGAUAACCCCCGUUUGACCUCACCCUCCCUUGCCCGCCUAUAUACCGCCGUCGUCAGCUUACCCUGUGAAGGCUUAAUAGUAAGCAAAAUUGGCACUGCCCAGAACGUCAGGUCCAGGUGUAGCGCAUGGGAGGGGAAGAAAUGGGCUACAUUCGCUCGAGGGCUGAAAGAAGGAGGAUUUAGCAGUAAGUGGGAAAUAGAGUGUCCCACUGAAGCCGGCUCUGAAGUGCGC
RNAcentral lists this ribosomal RNA (344 nucleotides) under Gempylus serpens (snake mackerel). Its description in RNAcentral is "partial 12S ribosomal RNA". It matches the Rfam family "Bacterial small subunit ribosomal RNA", at positions 794 to 1384 of the family's 1533-position model. Lineage: Eukaryota; Metazoa; Chordata; Actinopteri; Scombriformes; Gempylidae. The record is from RNAcentral.